AUUACAAGAACAGCCUUCACAAGUUGUGCGUACAUGGUUGUGUACCACCGAGGACUGUGCUAAUGAGGUCAUGAUAAUGGGUCAGACAGUGGACCAGGAGAUAUCUGGGGACUGGUGUCAGACAGAGGGAGUCUUUAAUAUUGACGUCUCCAAUAAGACACUCGACUUUACUCUGCGAUUGGAAAGAAGUUUAUGGAUAGACAAUGCUAAUUCUGUUGUUGUUGGAGGCUGUGGCCCUAUGUGGAUCUUGGGUCAGGUCUGACACGGGGACAGUCAACCGUUCUCCACAGACCACUGUUGUACCUCUGAUGCGUGUACCUGCUAAUUGUCAAAGAGAUUUCACCUGUUGUCUUUGAUCCAGAUGAGGAUA
Molecule: long non-coding RNA, 370 nt
Organism: Salvelinus sp. IW2-2015
Lineage: Eukaryota; Metazoa; Chordata; Actinopteri; Salmoniformes; Salmonidae
Source: RefSeq, a predicted model, not a curated record